RNAcentral lists this ribosomal RNA (1377 nucleotides) under Klebsiella pneumoniae. RNAcentral's name for it is "bacterial SSU rRNA". It matches the Rfam family "Bacterial small subunit ribosomal RNA", at positions 8 to 1377 of the family's 1533-position model. Lineage: Bacteria; Pseudomonadati; Pseudomonadota; Gammaproteobacteria; Enterobacterales; Enterobacteriaceae. The record is from RNAcentral.
AGAGUUUGAUCAUGGCUCAGAUUGAACGCUGGCGGCAGGCCUAACACAUGCAAGUCGAGCGGUAGCACAGAGAGCUUGCUCUCGGGUGACGAGCGGCGGACGGGUGAGUAAUGUCUGGGAAACUGCCUGAUGGAGGGGGAUAACUACUGGAAACGGUAGCUAAUACCGCAUAAUGUCGCAAGACCAAAGUGGGGGACCUUCGGGCCUCAUGCCAUCAGAUGUGCCCAGAUGGGAUUAGCUAGUAGGUGGGGUAACGGCUCACCUAGGCGACGAUCCCUAGCUGGUCUGAGAGGAUGACCAGCCACACUGGAACUGAGACACGGUCCAGACUCCUACGGGAGGCAGCAGUGGGGAAUAUUGCACAAUGGGCGCAAGCCUGAUGCAGCCAUGCCGCGUGUGUGAAGAAGGCCUUCGGGUUGUAAAGCACUUUCAGCGGGGAGGAAGGCGUUAAGGUUAAUAACCUUGGCGAUUGACGUUACCCGCAGAAGAAGCACCGGCUAACUCCGUGCCAGCAGCCGCGGUAAUACGGAGGGUGCAAGCGUUAAUCGGAAUUACUGGGCGUAAAGCGCACGCAGGCGGUCUGUCAAGUCGGAUGUGAAAUCCCCGGGCUCAACCUGGGAACUGCAUUCGAAACUGGCAGGCUAGAGUCUUGUAGAGGGGGGUAGAAUUCCAGGUGUAGCGGUGAAAUGCGUAGAGAUCUGGAGGAAUACCGGUGGCGAAGGCGGCCCCCUGGACAAAGACUGACGCUCAGGUGCGAAAGCGUGGGGAGCAAACAGGAUUAGAUACCCUGGUAGUCCACGCCGUAAACGAUGUCGAUUUGGAGGUUGUGCCCUUGAGGCGUGGCUUCCGGAGCUAACGCGUUAAAUCGACCGCCUGGGGAGUACGGCCGCAAGGUUAAAACUCAAAUGAAUUGACGGGGGCCCGCACAAGCGGUGGAGCAUGUGGUUUAAUUCGAUGCAACGCGAAGAACCUUACCUGGUCUUGACAUCCACAGAACUUAGCAGAGAUGCUUUGGUGCCUUCGGGAACUGUGAGACAGGUGCUGCAUGGCUGUCGUCAGCUCGUGUUGUGAAAUGUUGGGUUAAGUCCCGCAACGAGCGCAACCCUUAUCCUUUGUUGCCAGCGGUCCGGCCGGGAACUCAAAGGAGACUGCCAGUGAUAAACUGGAGGAAGGUGGGGAUGACGUCAAGUCAUCAUGGCCCUUACGACCAGGGCUACACACGUGCUACAAUGGCAUAUACAAAGAGAAGCGACCUCGCGAGAGCAAGCGGACCUCAUAAAGUAUGUCGUAGUCCGGAUUGGAGUCUGCAACUCGACUCCAUGAAGUCGGAAUCGCUAGUAAUCGUAGAUCAGAAUGCUACGGUGAAUACGUUCCCGG